GACGAACGCUGGCGGUGUGCUUAACACAUGCAAGUCGAACGGAAAGGCCCUGCUUUUGUGGGGUGCUCGAGUGGCGAACGGGUGAGUAACACGUGAGUAACCUGCCCUUGACUUUGGGAUAACUUCAGGGAACUGGGGCUAAUACCGGAUAGGAGCUCCUGCUGCAUGGUGGGGGUUGGAAAGUUUCGGCGGUUGGGGAUGGACUCGCGGCUUAUCAGCUUGUUGGUGGGGUAGUGGCUUACCAAGGCUUUGACGGGUAGCCGGCCUGAGAGGGUGACCGGCCACAUUGGGACUGAGAUACGGCCCAGACUCCUACGGGAGGCAGCAGUGGGGAAUAUUGCACAAUGGGCGGAAGCCUGAUGCAGCAACGCCGCGUGCGGGAUGACGGCCUUCGGGUUGUAAACCGCUUUCGCCUGUGACGAAGCGUGAGUGACGGUAAUGGGUAAAGAAGCACCGGCUAACUACGUG
RNAcentral lists this ribosomal RNA (468 nucleotides) under uncultured bacterium. Its description in RNAcentral is "partial 16S ribosomal RNA". It matches the Rfam family "Bacterial small subunit ribosomal RNA", at positions 28 to 507 of the family's 1533-position model. The record is from RNAcentral.